AAAUUUCAAAGUUCAAGAAGUUUUUUGUUUUAUUUUUAAGUUCAGGGACACCUCUAUUACAACGUCUAAAGUUCAAGAAUAGCUAUUGAAAUUUAUUCCUGAAAGUUUAGUGUAUUUUCAAGGAACUACCUACUCUAAGAUUUUCUCAACUAGAAAUGUACAAUCCAUCUUCAAUUAAAAGAAAAAAAAAAGGUAGUUCCAUAUAACAGCUACAAUUACAAACAUGGCAAAAUGAGCAGCAAGUAGAAGAAUGAUUAUGCUGCAAAGUAAGCACAUUACUUCGCAUUGCACUAUAUUAUCCCUAGUCCAUCUUGUGAAGAUAUAAUGCUAUCUUAAUUUGAUUACAGCAAUCUAUUUCAUUCCCUAGAAUGUUCCAGAAAAACUUACAGACAUGGUAGAUGUUCACUAGAAAUCAAUGAAUAUGGGUAAUGUUUAACAGGUUGGAAUUUUAAUAAAGCUAUGAUUUAUUGCAUGCAUUUUAGACCUCCAUUUCACAUGUUUGCUUUUGUUUCUAAUGAGUGAAAUCAAUAAAAAGGUAUAAAAUGGUAAUUUAAAACUAUAUAACAGCAGCUAACACUGACGCUUCUGUUCAGAGUGUGCAUGGCAAAGGUUGUUUUUAACUUGCAAAAGUAAAGGAGUUAAAGAAUACCAAUG
Molecule: unclassified non-coding RNA, 654 nt
Filed under: Hevea brasiliensis (rubber tree)
Lineage: Eukaryota; Viridiplantae; Streptophyta; Magnoliopsida; Malpighiales; Euphorbiaceae
Source: RNAcentral